AUACGGAGGGUGCAAGCGUUAUCCGGAAUCACUGGGUUUAAAGGGUGCGUAGGCGGCCAUAUUAGUCAGUAGUGAAAGGUUGCAGCUUAACUGUAAGACUGCUAUUGAAACUGUAUGGCUUGAAUUAGGAUGAGGUAGGCGGAAUGUGACAUGUAGCGGUGAAAUGCUUAGAUAUGUCAUAGAACACCGAUUGCGUAGGCAGCUUACUAGACCUAUAUUGACGCUGAGGCACGAAAGCGUGGGGAGCGAACAGGAUUAGAUACCCUAGUAGUCC
Molecule: ribosomal RNA, 274 nt
Filed under: uncultured bacterium
Lineage: Bacteria
Description: partial 16S ribosomal RNA
Rfam family: Bacterial small subunit ribosomal RNA
Source: RNAcentral